Oncorhynchus tshawytscha (Chinook salmon) is the source of this 178-nucleotide long non-coding RNA. RefSeq lists it as uncharacterized. The transcript is spliced from 3 exons. The record is from RefSeq and is a predicted model, not a curated record. Lineage: Eukaryota; Metazoa; Chordata; Actinopteri; Salmoniformes; Salmonidae.
GAGAAUGCUCAGAACUAGAGAACAUCUGCAAACACAAGCAUCUGGUGGAUGAGCAGGUAGUCCAGCUCCAACAUGAGAAGUCAGAUCUGUUGAAGAGACUAGAGGAGAACCAGGAGGACCUUGAUGAACUCCUGAAGAAACACAAAGCCCUCAUCGCUCAGUCCUCCGGUGGUAUCUC